UACAGAGGUCCCAAGCGUUGUUCGGAUUCACUGGGCGUAAAGGGUGCGUAGGUGGCCAGGUAAGUUCGGUGUGAAAGCUCGGAGCUUAACUCCGAAAUGUCAUUGAAUACUAUCUGGCUAGAGGGUCGGAGGGGAGACUGGAAUUCUCGGUGUAGCAGUGAAAUGCGUAGAUAUCGAGAGGAACACCAGUGGCGAAGGCGAGUCUCUGGACGACACCUGACACUGAGGCACGAAAGCGUGGGGAGCAAACAGG
Molecule: ribosomal RNA, 253 nt
Filed under: uncultured bacterium
Lineage: Bacteria
Description: partial 16S ribosomal RNA
Rfam family: Bacterial small subunit ribosomal RNA
Source: RNAcentral